AAGAUCGAAUGGGGAGAUUCAUCGUCAGCGACGCUGGCUUAGCGAUGGCUCGUGAUGUCCGGGAUCUCGGUCUCGAGGCACGCGGUCGUCGCUUUGCGUCCGGCGGCGUCGGCGUGCACUUCUCCCCUAGUAGAACGUCGCGACCCGUUGGGUGCCGGUCUUACGGCCCGAGUGGAUGCCUGCCGCAUCGUUUCGACGCGUGCGGCAGACCCUCGGUCGCCAAAGAAUCGGCUGCCCGGCGGUACUCCCAUGGUAUCGGGCCGCAAAAAUUUCGAACUGCGUCGGGCCCGCUUCGUCCGCCGGUCAGUUUCUCGGUGGUACGGACCUAGCGCCGUCCCCGGUUCUGGCUAGCUUGCGUCAGGCGGUGUCCUCCGACUGGCCGUAAACACUGAUCGAUACCGGUCGGCGACGCUACUGCUUUGGGUAAUCUCAGGACCCGUCUUGAAACACGGACCAAGGAGUCUAACAUGUGCGCGAGUCAUUGGGACCGCAUGCCUAAAGGCGAAAUGAAAGUGAAGGUCGGCCCUCGCGCCGACCGAGGGAGGAUGGGCCGCGUCACGAUGCGGCUUCGCACUCCCGGGGCGUCUCGUUCUCAUUCGAGAAGAGGCGCACCCAGAGCGUACACGUUGGGACCCGAAAGAUGGUGAACUAUGCCUGGUCAGGACGAAGUCAGGGGAAACCCUGAUGGAGGUCCGUAGCGAUUCUGACGUGCAAAUCGAUCGUCGGAA
This 728-nucleotide ribosomal RNA is filed under the name Laelius sp. RNAcentral describes it as "partial large subunit ribosomal RNA". The stretch from base 366 to 728 matches the Rfam family "Eukaryotic large subunit ribosomal RNA", at positions 1 to 910 of the family's 3401-position model. The record is from RNAcentral. Lineage: Eukaryota; Metazoa; Arthropoda; Insecta; Hymenoptera; Bethylidae.